This 472-nucleotide long non-coding RNA is filed under the name Capsella grandiflora. RNAcentral's name for it is "long non-coding RNA (CGRA_LNC000461)". Lineage: Eukaryota; Viridiplantae; Streptophyta; Magnoliopsida; Brassicales; Brassicaceae. The record is from RNAcentral.
AUGCGCUAUAUAGAUUAUUAUCGGAUAACUAAGUUGCAUAUAUAGAUUGAUAUCGGAUAACUAGAUUGUUAUCUAAUAUGUUAUCUGAUAAUUAGAUCGUUAUCAAUUAUGUUAUCGGAUAAUUAGAUUGUUAUCAAAUAAUGAAAUUCUUACAAAACGAUAGUAAAGUAUAAAACUCAACAAAAAUACAACACAACUGAAUCCCUAAAUAUGAUACAUUUAGAUAAGGGAUAACACAUUAAUUAGUAUAAUAUUUUUGUUAAUAUGUGUGGAUAUUAUCGGAUAACGAAAAGGUUAUAUGCUUAGGUGAGAGAUAAAGAGAGAGAGAAAGAUAUAAGAAGAGAACGAGAAUCGAUGUUUAUUUGUUUAUCUAAGUGAUAGAUAGGGGUAAAAACGUCUGGAAAAAAGAAAACUAAAUAUUGAGUUAUGGAUGUUAGAUAUUUAAUUAAUUGGUCAACUGAGGCUACCAAAU